AUCAGGAAAUUGGUUCUGACAGUAUGCCUGAAACUUUAUCAAUGUGGAUGAAACUGGCAGGUUCAGAGAACAAAUUGCAAGAAUUGUUUAAUUUGGGCCAAGAGUGACAUACUAGGAAGGGAUGUGAUCAAAUUAACAUCAGAUGUUCCUGUGGGAUACAUUGUCUUGAAGGAUUUUUCGACUGGUAAAACGAGCAAGUUACUGAGGAUGAAAGAUGCCACAGUUGCUGGUGUUUACCAUCCUUUGAUUGAUGAGAGGCUUGUGAGAAUCUUGCAUGGAGGGUGUAAUGGCAAAUAAAUUAUGGGGUGUAGGUGGCUUCGCCGUCAUAGUAUAGGAGGUGUAUCUGCAAUUUAACCCUAACAAGAAUUUACACAAAGCAUUGUGCAAACACUGCUUAACGGAGUAUCUGGUGCAAAUAGGAAGGGCAAGAAAGUCUAUGCUUGGACAGUUGAUGAUGCUGGCUCCAUGCAGAGGUUGUUGUUUGAACAUGUUGAUGCCAUUGUUACCGGUCAUCCUUCUGAGCUUCAGCGCAUAAUGGCAGAUAUGAAAACAGAAUGUCUCGAGGAUGGCUAUUCUUUACCUUGACAAGGGCACGCAUUGACAUUCAAUUGCUAAAUCGAUGGCUAUUCUUUACCUUGACAAGGGCACGCGUUGACAUUCAAUUGUUAAAUCGAUGGCUAUUCUUUACCUUGACAAGGGCACGCGUUGACUUCAAUUGCUAAAUCGACCAACUUUAGGUUGGGAUGAUGC
Molecule: long non-coding RNA, 750 nt
Organism: Asparagus officinalis (garden asparagus)
Lineage: Eukaryota; Viridiplantae; Streptophyta; Magnoliopsida; Asparagales; Asparagaceae
Exons: 3
Source: RefSeq, a predicted model, not a curated record